GGAGGAAAGCAGGGGAUCGCAAGACCUCAUGCUCGUGGAGCGGCCGAUAUCUGAUUAGCUAGUUGGUAGGGUAAAAGCCUACCAAGGCAUCGAUCAGUAGCUGGUCUGAGAGGACGACCAGCCACACUGGAACUGAGACACGGUCCAGACUCCUACGGGAGGCAGCAGUGGGGAAUUUUGGACAAUGGGCGAAAGCCUGAUCCAGCAAUGCCGCGUGAGUGAAGAAGGCCUUCGGGUUGUAAAGCUCUUUUGUCAGGGAAGAAACGGUGAGAGCUAAUAUCUCUUGCUAAUGACGGUACCUGAAGAAUAAGCACCGGCUAACUACGUGCCAGCAGCCGCGGUAAUACGUAGGGUGCAAGCGUUAAUCGGAAUUACUGGGCGUAAAGCGUGCGCAGGCGGUUUUGUAAGUCUGAUGUGAAAUCCCCGGGCUCAACCUGGGAAUUGCGUUUGAAACUACAAGGCUAG
RNAcentral lists this ribosomal RNA (465 nucleotides) under uncultured Pseudomonadota bacterium. Its description in RNAcentral is "bacterial SSU rRNA". It matches the Rfam family "Bacterial small subunit ribosomal RNA", at positions 198 to 644 of the family's 1533-position model. The record is from RNAcentral. Lineage: Bacteria; Pseudomonadati; Pseudomonadota.